This is an RNA transcript of Hippocampus comes (tiger tail seahorse), 2414 nucleotides long. RefSeq lists it as uncharacterized. The transcript has 6 exons. NCBI's taxonomy places the organism in Eukaryota, Metazoa, Chordata, Actinopteri, Syngnathiformes, Syngnathidae. The record is from RefSeq and is a predicted model, not a curated record.
AGGAAGUGUGAAACGGCAGGCGUACCCAUAACACGGCACUGCGAUUGGGUAGAUUGACUCUUGAAAAAAAUUGAAAACAAGUUAUGGAAUGACAGGGAUAUUGCAUCGAUCUUCACUGAUAAAUCAAUAUUUAUAUACUGAAAUUAUCGAGUAGCGAUAGACUGGAAAGUUGCUUUCGAAAACGUAGCUGUCUUUGUCAACCCUCCUUCUUCUAUUUGAUACGUAGAAAUAAAAACGGGAUCUCAUGGCUAGUAUGUUUGUCCGGAGGGUCUUUCUGGUUGCCACUCACAUUAAAUCUUCGCGGUUGGCCUGUCUGAUGAAGAGCAAACGAGUGCCGGAGACUGCCGCCGGGGCAAGACCUUUCUCCAGUGAUCCUCCGGAAAGAAUCAGCCGCUAUCCAAUUCCUUACAAGAAAGACUUGCCAUACGACAUCGUGGAACUUAUGGAGGAAGUAGAGUCCAAGGGAGGUUUCUUACCAAACGUCUUCAAAGUCCUCUCUCACAGACCCGCAGAGUUUCGAGCCUUCUUCUCUUACUACAAUGAACUCAUGAGCAAGGAGACAGGUGGACUAACCAAGGCAGAUCGUGAGCUAAUUGUGGUGGCCACCAGCAUCCAUAAUAAGUGUCUUUACUGUGUGGUUUCCCACAGUGCACUUCACCGCAUCUACUCAAAGAACACUACCCUCUCAGACCAGGUGGUGGUCAACUAUGAGAAUGCAGAGCUCCAACCACGAGAACGAGCCAUGUUGGACUUUGCCAUGGCCGUGUGCCGCGCAGACACCAUCACUGAGCAGCACUUCAAGUCCUUAGAGGAAGUGGGCUUUGACACCGAGGACGCCUGGGAUAUCGCUGCCAUCGCGGCCUUCUUCGCCAUGUCUAACCGACUCGCCCACCUCACUGACAUGCGGCCAAACAAGGAGUUUUACAACAUGGGCCGCAUACCGCGGGACAAGAGCAAAGAUAAAUAGGGCAGCAAUUGAUUUACCAGACAAGUUUAAUUUAGGGUAAAAUAUUAUGAUUUACUCACUUAAAUGUAAAUCAGUCAAGGCUAUGAUCCAUACUUGUCAUACAGUCGUGAAAUUAUCACUUUUGGCUGUCAUUGUUUGGGAUGAAAAAAUAUUAAAUGUUUUGUGUAUUAUUUAUGUAGUUAUGCAGACAGUCUGUAGUUCUCUUUCUUGUUUGGUAUGAUGUGUCACAUUGAUAACAAAGGUUUGAGCAAACAUUUGAAAUGUGUAGAUAUGCAUUUUUUUUAAACAGAAAGAUUUUUUUCCAGGGAACUGUGCUGUUCAUGGGCGGCCCAGUAGUCGAGUGGUUCGCUCGUCCACUUCACAGUGCAGAGAAGGAUCAAAAAUGACUCAGUGGCUUGCAGAAACAUGUUGGGUUACAUUACAACUGAUAUUUUGAAUUCAAAGACUAGGAAAACUACAAUUCGUACUCAUGAUCAUCGAUGGAUUACUGCUGGAUCCCUCCACAGAAACACGGUGACUCUUCCACAAGCACUUGUUUCAGAUUAGAGGGUUCCGGAUUGAUAAUCCAAAUGCACAUUCACUCAGAUUACUUCAUCCCUGUGGAUUACGGGUCAUGUGCCUUCUCAUAUUUGCUCAGAGAGAACGAUUUAAGGUUUUACUAUUUUUUUCCUUGUUUGUCCAUGGGUGUGUUCUAUUUGUGUCUUGUUUUGUAUGUCCCGCCCCCCGCCUUCGUAAUGAUUUCCUGUGGCCUGAUUUGCAGUGUCUCUCAGCACACUGGGGCAGAUGGCAUUGAUAUUAGACAAGGUUGUUUUUACACUGUGAUAUUGUUAAAGAUUUGGCAUCAUUGCAGACAAUCUCGACACAGUCACAUCACAUUAGUUUGAUAUGGAAAUUGAGUGGAUGACUCAAGACAAUCUCAAAAGUUUCUUUGCCCUUGAAGACUGGCAAGAUCACUUUUUGGCAGACUCAGAUGUUUUGCUCAUUUUGCUUGGGUGUGCCAUGAAUAUGAAUACCAUUUCACUCCCUCUUGCUGCUUGUGUCUCUGAAAAUACUUGUUCCAGCUUAUAUCUGAGCCCAGCAAAUUGAUGACAGGUGGAUAUUGUAUUGCCUCUUUUGCACUUCCUGAUGUUUACUCAUUUUGAUAUGGCUCGAUAUGCUUUGUUGGUACUUUUUCACUGGAAAAAGCAGAUACUUUCAGGUACUAUCGGGUGCUAUUUAAAACAAGUGUAUUUCUGCCCUCUUGGAUGAUAUUUGUCUCCUUGUCAGUCGACCCCCCCCCCACCCCCAUUCUUAUUGUAUCUGUUUGUUGUCUCGAUUUGACUGAAGUAUUCAGUGUAUGGUUUUAGCAGUUUACCACUGUAUAUGAUUUUGAGGUAUAAAACUGAUGCAAACAGAGCUGUGCUCAGCCAAGGCAAUACUGUGCAGUGAAAAAGUCUAGCCAACCUCA